This 549-nucleotide ribosomal RNA is filed under the name uncultured bacterium. Its description in RNAcentral is "partial 16S ribosomal RNA". It matches the Rfam family "Bacterial small subunit ribosomal RNA", at positions 355 to 920 of the family's 1533-position model. The record is from RNAcentral.
UGGGGAAUAUUGCACAAUGGGCGAAAGCCUGAUGCAGCAACGCCGCGUGAGUGAUGAAGGCCUUCGGGUUGUAAAGCUCUGUCUUUUGGGACGAUAAUGACGGUACCAAAGGAGGAAGCCACGGCUAACUACGUGCCAGCAGCCGCGGUAAUACGUAGGUGGCAAGCGUUGUCCGGAUUUACUGGGCGUAAAGGAUGCGUAGGCGGAUUUUUAAGUGAGAUGUGAAAUACCCGGGCUUAACUUGGGUGCUGCAUUUCAAACUGGGAAUCUAGAGUACGGGAGAGGAGAAUGGAAUUCCUAGUGUAGCGGUGAAAUGCGUAGAGAUUAGGAAGAACACCAGUGGCGAAGGCGAUUCUCUGGACCGUAACUGACGCUGAGGCAUGAAAGCGUGGGUAGCAAACAGGAUUAGAUACCCUGGUAGUCCACGCCGUAAACGAUGAGUACUAGGUGUAGGAGGUAUCGACCCCUUCUGUGCCGCAGUUAACACAAUAAGUACUCCGCCUGGGAAGUACGAUCGCAAGAUUAAAACUCAAAUGAAUUGACGGGGUC